AAUUGACAGGUUUUAGAUGAUGAAGUCAAUGUCACCUAGUUUCCAGGUGACCAGUGUUUCAAGUUCCUUCAGCAUCCUUGGCAGAUGGUGGAGGCCUGCUGCCUUCUCUGUGUGGGCUGUUCCUGGAGCUGAGUGCAUGAAGGUAGCCAGAGGACAGACCUGUUCCUAGGCAAUGAAACAAGUCUUUCCUGUGAUGUCCUUUCAGCUGUCCAGGAAAAGGAGUCCAGUACCGUAGCAGUGAAAUUCAAUAAAAGCCAUGAGCAUGGAAGGACUUAAAAGAUCACCCCAGAAAUGUUUCUAAAACACCGACACCACUCAGUUAUGUAGAUUUACACCGAAAAGGUAAAUCCUCAGAGUAUGCUCCUUCUUCAUCCUAAUUUGAAGAUGGUCUAUCCUGAGACUGGCACAGGGAGUAGCUCCCUCCCUACUUUGAGGACUCACAGAACCAAGGGCUUCUUUCUUGGCUCUCUGCUGAGAUGACAAACUACUGUUCUGGCCCUGACUAUGCAGCAGACUCAUGUUGCCAUGAAUAAAGAUUUUAUCAGCCCCCUCAGAAGAAAAUGAAACAGAAGCGGUAAAAUAAGAACUAAGUUGUUAAAACUCACCACAAACUUAGUGAAUA
Long non-coding RNA from Passer domesticus (house sparrow), 622 nucleotides. RefSeq lists it as uncharacterized. The transcript has 3 exons. The record is from RefSeq and is a predicted model, not a curated record. Lineage: Eukaryota; Metazoa; Chordata; Aves; Passeriformes; Passeridae.